RNAcentral lists this ribosomal RNA (213 nucleotides) under Herpotrichiellaceae sp. RNAcentral describes it as "partial large subunit ribosomal RNA". Lineage: Eukaryota; Fungi; Ascomycota; Eurotiomycetes; Chaetothyriales; Herpotrichiellaceae. The record is from RNAcentral.
AAGCGCUUGCAACCAGACUUGAGCGCGACGGUUCCCCCUUCCUUUUGGUUGGGUUAUUCCGUCGUGUCCAGGCCAACAUCGGUUCUGGGGGCCGGUUAAAGGCUCUGGGAAUGUAUCUUCCUCCGGGUUGACUUAUAGCCCAGGGUGUCAUGCGGCCUCCCGGGACCGAGGAACGCGCUUCGGCUCGGAUGUUGGCGUAAUGGUUGUCAGCGA